Molecule: non-coding RNA, 583 nt
Organism: Aegilops tauschii subsp. strangulata
Lineage: Eukaryota; Viridiplantae; Streptophyta; Magnoliopsida; Poales; Poaceae
Source: RefSeq, a predicted model, not a curated record
GUAUGGCUCCUACCAAGGCUGAGGCUGAUGUAGAGGAGGGAGAAGAGCCGAAGAAGAAGGAAAGGAAAGCAGCCGGAGCUGCUUUCACGUGGAUUCAAGCAAACUUUGCGCAUUGCCCUGCGGAUGCCACUGAUGAUGUGAUACAGACACAUGCUCGUGUCUAUAUGUGCUGGACGAUGCGUGUUGCAGGAUCACAGAUAGGGCAGGCAUUGGUGGUAAUAUGCUUCUACUUUCUGUAUGGAGCUGGGAGCGUCUGCCUGUUGGACGCCCGAAGAGCGUCAGGUUUAAUCCUUGGUAUGAAGAUGAAGAUGACGACUUACGGCGCCCCACUUGGGCUUACAAGUGGGAUGUGGUUUCCGAGAUGACGAACGAUGUCAAUCUCAUGUACCAAAAGUACAUUGCCGAGUUGGACACGAUUACGCCUGAGCAGGUGGAAUGGCAGCCAUAUGGCGCCGAUGACAGACUUGGGUACACCCCGGAGUUUUCCAUCAACCCGAUGUGCUUGCGGGAUAGGGAUCUCUGGCUUAUGCGGUGCCCACUGAUAUGCAACUGGGCUGUUGAGUUUCAUUUGCCACAUCGCGUG